AUUUUGCAGAAGUUGUUGAGACGGAGAAGAAAAGGCACUGAACAGGUUACAUGUCCAGAUCUUUGGAUAUAAUCUAUUGGAGAAAGGAUCUGGGUCUGAUGCAUGGUUCUUACCCUAGCAGCCAGCCCAAGAAGAUAAUGGAGCAAUAUGUCAUGAACGGAGGGAUGGGUGGAUGAAGAGAACCGCGGCCCAACAUGUCUCUCUAGGAGAAAAAUAAAUCAAAGGGAGAAUUCUUGCUUGCAAAAAAUGAGCGGAGGAUAGGGAGAGAGAAAAAGACAGUGAGAGAGGGAAAAGAGACAAGACAGAGAAAUAGCCAAUAAAGCAGACACACACAAAAAAGGGAGAGAUGAGAGGAGAAAGAAACGGGACGGGACAAGGAGACAAGAGGCAGAAAGGCAGGGGACAGGAACAGGAAUGGGACUCAGAGAGGACCUGGGAGAAUGCGGGAGGAAGCUGGCGACAGAGGGAAGGGAAGGACCCAACAGCCAAAGUCAGGACUCAAGAGCGCUACUGUGGGGAAAGGCAGUGGAAAUGAGAUGGGCCCCGCUGCCCGCGCCCGCUUGCUCUCGGUCUUGGUCUUGGCCGACCUGAGGGCGCUUCUCUCCCAGGCUGUCAGGCGGCGCGCAGGGAGGAGGUGCAGACGCGGCCGCCACCGCCAAGCGCCCAGCG
Molecule: long non-coding RNA, 669 nt
Filed under: Homo sapiens (human)
Lineage: Eukaryota; Metazoa; Chordata; Mammalia; Primates; Hominidae
Description: HSALNT0162579
Source: RNAcentral